Molecule: long non-coding RNA, 980 nt
Organism: Sycon ciliatum
Lineage: Eukaryota; Metazoa; Porifera; Calcarea; Leucosolenida; Sycettidae
Exons: 5
Source: RefSeq, a predicted model, not a curated record
AAUUGAAAAGCAAAGGAUCUUUAACUCUUUAUGGGUCGUGUGUGUUGGCUGAGUGCUCCAUUUUGUGCUGAUUCCGAAGACUGUCCGUAACGUUAUAGCAGAGUAUUGGGAUCUGGUCAUCUACGCUCUUCUCGCACACGUCUUCAUGCUGCUAUCUACCACGAAGAGAGUUCGCCUCUUUGAUCUCGCUUCGGCCAGCGUUCACCUUAACGUUGUCAGACUAACCAUGGUCGGGCAUUAUCAUCUCCAAAUUAGCUAUCUGCUUGUAGCAGUACUGUUCAUCUCCUCCGUGUCUUAUUGCAAAGCUGAUCCGACUGUUCUCUCGUCACCUAUUGGAAGCACCGGACUGAUUAUCAGUGAGGAUGAUGGCAGUACAGAAGCAGUUCUGCCCGUGUGCAUCGCCUCUACCAUAAGACCAGCACCUUCAUCAGCCACUGAUGUAGAUUGGAGUACUGAGGCCAGUGGUGGGGAGUCUGUGUUCAGGAACGUGACGACCUCGCUGAGUGACAGUGGCGGAUGCUACUGGUCCAAUCUGACAGUGGCUAUCGGCCGUGUUACCAACGCAGAGGGCAACUACACCAUCAAUGUAACUACAUCCGCUACUGAAUCUUAUCAGAUGACAAUUCCUCUUGUAUAUACCGUUCCAUUGUGCAUAACGCCAGUGAUCCGGUAUUCUCAAGUACGCUCUAUUGGCCUGAUUCGAAACAUAAACCGGACUUACUGGACUACAUCUAACUACCGUGUAACAUGCGCACCGGGUCUAACAUUGACCAUUCCGCAACACAGUAAAUGUGAAAGGGCACCUGGUGGAGAAUCGGUUUUCAAAAAUGUACCUCAGUGUCUUGGUGAGUAUGACAGUGCCGACCUGGUAGGCUUGAUGUGUGUAUGUGUGUGUGUGUGUGUGUGUGUGUGUGUGUGUGUGUGUGUGUAUGUGUGUGUGUGUGUGUGUGUGUGUGUGUGUGUGUGUGUGUGUGUGUGUG